Molecule: long non-coding RNA, 1347 nt
Filed under: Homo sapiens (human)
Lineage: Eukaryota; Metazoa; Chordata; Mammalia; Primates; Hominidae
Description: non-protein coding lnc-KLF8-1:1
Source: RNAcentral
GAAGGAACUGGGUGGGCCAAAUUUAAAUAAACACAUAGCACUAUCUUUUCUCACUGUUAAAUAUGGCUCUCUGACAACAGUGAUGCUACCCUGAGUUACCUCUCUUCUGUAUUUUCCCAGAUCUCACUUGGUUGACCUUAGGCAAGUCAUAUCACCUCUCUGUGCCUCAAUUAAUCCAUUUGCAAAAUGGGGAUCUCAAUAUCUACCUCACAGGAAUGUUGUGAGGCUUCUCAUAAAUUGAUUUUGGCAAAAAUGAAAGAUCUUUAAGUGAACAACCAAGUAUUAUAACCAUUGUUAUAAUGAUAGUUAUAGUACCUUAUAUUUACCCUAUGUAAAAGAGAAGAUUAGGCUUCCUAGGUGAUAAACAGAUAAAUUUGAGUAAGAAGGAUAAUUAAAGAGUGGCCACUGGAAGCAAUAUUAUUUAUUCUCUUACUUUCACUUUCCCUAUAUCUUCUUUGUUACUAACAAUACGAUUAUCAUCUGUUUCCAUACUUGAAAUGUAUUAGGACCUAAAGGAAGAGGUAGGCAAAAUUCAUUGCUUCAGAAGCUGUAUUCUUCCCCCUUUGUAACUCUGCUUGGACCACAUUCCAUGUCACAUUCUCAGAAGCACAAAGGCAAUUUUCCAGAGCCCUUUAAGCUUUGGCCAGUUCAGUUUCACCACUUAUAUUUUCUCUUUCCCAACUUACUUUACUCUGAAUAGUAUAGGUAGGAGGAGGGAAGUUGGGUAGGGUGGUUGGGGGUGGGAGUGGGUUGGAAGAGGAUGGGAUUUAUACCAGUGGCAGGAUAUUUCUCUGUUUUCCAAACACUGGUUUUAAUUUCCAUUUCCUUUUCUGGUGUUGGGGUGGGGUCAGGGGAAGAGAUACUAUUUUGUUAACUGUUAAAAGCUCUCCUUCCUUUCCUAGAGUCGCUACAAGUAGCUGUGUUGGACAUUACUUUAUAACUAUGCUGUAUGCCAUGCUGUUUUCAUUGUAUCACAGAAUUAAAAGGGGAAGAGAGUUCCUAGUGGUGUCCAUCCCUGUUUUUUGACAGGCAGUCACACAGUGUCUGUUGAAGUCUAUAGUGGAUGCUAUCAUGUGCCGCCCAGAUACCCCUCUCCAGGACAGAAGCACUCAUUGUCAAGCUACUGAGAGUGUUGGCAACAGAUACAUCUCAGCUGAAUUUCUCCCCAAGAUAGGGCUGACCAAAAUGUACAUACCUUUCUCAGGGUCAGCCUGCAUCCAAUAGCUGUUUGAUGUGAGUAUAUAAAGGCCCUGACCUCCAUCCCAAUUCAGGAUGGCUUUGAAGGGCCAUUCUAGCUCCAGAACCCCCAUAGGAUUGUCUGAGGUCUUUGCUGUGACUGAAUUGCAG